UACGUAGGGGGCGAGCGUUGUCCGGAUUCAUUGGGCGUAAAGAGCUCGUAGGCGGCUUGGCAAGUCGGAUGUGAAAACUCCAGGCUCAACCUGGAGCCGCCAUUCGAUACUGCCAUGGCUAGAGUCCGGUAGGGGAGUGUGGAAUUCCCGGUGUAGCGGUGAAAUGCGCAGAUAUCGGGAGGAACACCGAUGGCGAAGGCAGCACUCUGGGCCGGUACUGACGCUGAGGAGCGAAAGCGCGGGGAGCGAACAGG
This 254-nucleotide ribosomal RNA is filed under the name uncultured bacterium. Its description in RNAcentral is "partial 16S ribosomal RNA". It matches the Rfam family "Bacterial small subunit ribosomal RNA", at positions 524 to 776 of the family's 1533-position model. The record is from RNAcentral.